GAGUACCAGAAGCUCGGCUCCUACGCCCUCAUCGGCCUCCCCGCCUCCUACCCCGCCCGAUUCGUCCAACCGGGAGAGACCAAGACCAAAUACUCCGUCCUCAUCGCCGGUGCCAAUUUCGGCUGCGGCUCCUCCCGCGAGCAAGCGCCUGUUGCGCCCGGAGCCUCCGGGGCGGCCGCAUGCGCCUGUUGCGCUCGGAGCCUCCGGUGCUGCCGCUGUGGUGGCGGAGUCAUAUGCGAGGAUCUUCUUCCGGAACUCGGUGGCGACUGGUGAGGUGUACCCGCUGGAGUCGGAGGGAAGGCUGUGUGAGGAGUGUAGCACUGGUGAUGUGGUGACGAUUGAGCUUGCGGAGAGCCGUUUGAUUAAUCACACCACCGGGAAGGAGUACAG
RNAcentral lists this long non-coding RNA (390 nucleotides) under Lotus japonicus. RNAcentral's name for it is "long non-coding RNA (LJAP_LNC001623)". Lineage: Eukaryota; Viridiplantae; Streptophyta; Magnoliopsida; Fabales; Fabaceae. The record is from RNAcentral.